CAGAAAGGGUCCUCUCCCCAUGGCCACCGCAGCUAGGAAUAUGCGGAGUCACACUUGAAGCCAGCACAGCACUGGGUCACACCCAAGGCUUGCAAUGACUGAAAUCACAAGAAGCAAAACUGUGGAUGAGAGCAAGUACAUUAAUAUAUUUUGUCACCUUCAAACAAAGUUGCUCUUCCGAGCACUGAAGCAAAGCAUGUCCUGGCUCAAAAGGCCCUCAUUUAAAACCACAGCUACAGUCCGGUCUCAUGAAGAUGCUCGGCUGCUUGAGCGACCUUUCUUUAUAUUUCAUAAGUUCAUCUUUGCCUCAAAGACUGGUUUCUCAUUGGUGAAAUUAAAGCUUGAAGUGGCUCUUCUCCAAAGAUCCUUUUACAAUUUUACUUGCUGGCAAAUAUUCUCAAACAAAUGUCUUCAGGAAAAAUUGCCAGCUUAAGAGAUUCCUGACAC
Molecule: long non-coding RNA, 447 nt
Filed under: Homo sapiens (human)
Lineage: Eukaryota; Metazoa; Chordata; Mammalia; Primates; Hominidae
Description: HSALNT0357972
Source: RNAcentral